RNAcentral lists this transfer RNA (73 nucleotides) under Ixodes scapularis (black-legged tick). It matches the Rfam family "tRNA". From Rfam's summary of the family: Transfer RNA (tRNA) molecules are approximately 80 nucleotides in length. Their secondary structure includes four short double-helical elements and three loops (D, anti-codon, and T loops). Lineage: Eukaryota; Metazoa; Arthropoda; Arachnida; Ixodida; Ixodidae. The record is from Rfam by way of RNAcentral.
CCUUGGUUAGCUCAGUCGGUGGAGUACUCCACUGAAAAUGGAGAGGUCCCUUGCUCGUUACCAGGACCAGGCG